This 253-nucleotide ribosomal RNA is filed under the name uncultured bacterium. RNAcentral describes it as "partial 16S ribosomal RNA". It matches the Rfam family "Bacterial small subunit ribosomal RNA", at positions 524 to 776 of the family's 1533-position model. The record is from RNAcentral.
UACGUAGGGGGCUAGCGUUGUCCGGAUUUAUUGGGCGUAAAGAGCGUGUAGGCGGCCAGGUAGGUCUGCUGUGAAAACUCGAGGCUCAACCUCGAGACGCCGAUGGAAACCAUGUGGCUAGAGUCCGGAAGAGGAGAGUGGAACUCCUGGUGUAGCGGUGAAAUGCGCAGAUAUCAGGAAGAACACCCGUGGCUAAGGCGGCUCUCUAGUACGGUACUGACGCUGAGACGCGAAAGCGUGGGGAGCAAACAGG